CCCAGGCCUACUUAGCAGAUGGCUGAGCUGAAUUCAGUAGGUGCUCAAGCUGUGCGAGGCACGGAGCGAGGGUUCUGAACCCUGGCUGUCCAAACACAGCCUCUGGUCUCUGCCCCUGAGCCACGGCCACCUGGCUAGUGCCCAGCAGAGCCCAGGGUCUCCUCCACAGGAGGGGGCAGGAGGCCUCCCCCCCAAAUCUGUGUCCAUCUGAACCUUGGAAAUGGCGUCUGCUGAUGGGAUCAGGGCACACUGGGAGGACCCCAGAUCUGACCGGUAUCCUCAGAAGGGGGGGACAGAGGACAGACGGCAUGAAGCUGGCGGAGAGCGGAGCGGGGUAGCCCUGAGCCUCAGCUGGCCACAGGCCACUAGAGAGCCCGGAAGCCGAGAGGCCAGGAGGGGUCCUCCCUCAAAGCCUCGGAGGGCGCAGCCCGCAACCCCUGGACCUUAGAUCCUAUCUCCAGGACUGCCAGGGGCCAGAGCUGUCACCUUAAGCUGCCCUGUUCGUGGUCAUUGGUCACAGCAGCCUGGGAAAUGCAUAGACCAAUUUUGAAAACAGAGGGCAUUCACAAGGUCCCCGGAGCUGUCCAGCAUGUCUGGGUGGCAGUCCGGGGCUCGGUCCCCAGCCACCAGCAAAGGGUGACUCUGUCCUUGGGGCUGCCGUCCUCCGCCCACGUCUCCCUCUCAGAUUGGAGAGGAUGGCAGAUGGCCAUCCUUUUUUGGCCUCUCAGAGUCCAGUGCCCAUUCUAGGUGCCCUUAGAUUUAUCUUGAGGGAAUUAUUUCCUCCUGGGUGACUGGGAUCUCCAGGAAAAUCCCUGAUGACUACCUCCUGUUAGAGAACUCCCCAGGACAGGUCCUGCCUCUCCCGGCCAUAGUGUGGCCGGAGAAUGGGUCACCUCUAAGCUCAGUCGGCUGGAUUUUCUUUCCUGUAUCACUGAGCAGGCCUGACCAGAGCAGGGUGGGCUGUGGACAGACAGACUCUUGCUUGCAGAGGCUGCUGUGGUCCACGCCACGGCCCCCACAGUGGCCUGGGCUCCUGCCCGAGUCCGAGUCUCCUCCUUUGGCCCAGAACCCAUUUCCCAACCAACCGUAUCCAGAUUUCCUGUUGGAAAUUGCCUUCCAUCACUGCGUGAGCAACGCCCACAGGUUAGCCAGACGGUUUCCGUUGCUUGCAACCGUGAACUCCAAGACGGCUAGAGAGGUUCAGCUCGGUCUGAGGACUAGGUUUUGUGACCGUGAACUCUAAGACAGCUAGAGAGGGUCAGCUCGGUCUGAGGACUAGGUUUUUCAGAACUCCUGAAUAAAAACGAACGAACAAAAAAAUCCCAAACACUAUAAAAAAUGUUAUCCAGAUUCUUAUGUCACCGAUCGCAGUGUGAAUCAGCUCCAUCACUUUGGAAACCUGCGUAGCAGUAUCCGCUGAAGCUGAGUUACUUGGGC
Molecule: long non-coding RNA, 1437 nt
Filed under: Marmota monax (woodchuck)
Lineage: Eukaryota; Metazoa; Chordata; Mammalia; Rodentia; Sciuridae
Source: RNAcentral